GAAAUGCGAUAAGUAGUGUGAAUUGCAGAAUUCAGUGAAUCAUCGAAUCUUUGAACGCACAUUGUGCCCCUUGGUAUUCCAUGGGGCAUGCCUGUUCGAGCGUCAUUUGUACCCUCAAGCUCUGCUUGGUGUUGGGUGUUUGUCCCCGUCUCCGCGCGUGGACUCGCCCCAAAGUGAUUGGCAGCCGGCGUACUGGUCCCGGAGCGCAGCACAUGUCGCGCAAACGAGUGCCUUGGUACGGCGGCGUCCAUAAGCCCCUCUCUCACGCUCUUGACCUCGGAUCAGGUAGGGAUACCCGCUGAACUUAAGC
RNAcentral lists this unclassified non-coding RNA (310 nucleotides) under plant metagenome. Its description in RNAcentral is "partial contains 5.8S ribosomal RNA, internal transcribed spacer 2, and large subunit ribosomal RNA". The stretch from base 1 to 105 matches the Rfam family "5.8S ribosomal RNA", at positions 50 to 154 of the family's 154-position model. The record is from RNAcentral.